RNAcentral lists this ribosomal RNA (254 nucleotides) under uncultured bacterium. Its description in RNAcentral is "partial 16S ribosomal RNA". It matches the Rfam family "Bacterial small subunit ribosomal RNA", at positions 524 to 776 of the family's 1533-position model. The record is from RNAcentral.
UACGUAGGGUGCGAGCGUUGUCCGGAAUUAUUGGGCGUAAAGAGCUCGUAGGCGGUGUGUCACGUCGGCCGUGAAAACCUGCAGCUUAACUGUGGGCGUGCGGUCGAUACGGGCAUCACUGGAGUUCGGCAGGGGAGACUGGAAUUCCUGGUGUAGCGGUGAAAUGCGCAGAUAUCGGGAGGAAUACCGAUGGCGAAGGCAACUGCCUGGGCCUGAACUGACACUGUGACUCGAAAGCGUGGGUAGCAAACAGG